RNAcentral lists this non-coding RNA (22 nucleotides) under Arabidopsis thaliana (thale cress). Lineage: Eukaryota; Viridiplantae; Streptophyta; Magnoliopsida; Brassicales; Brassicaceae. The record is from RNAcentral.
UAGGUGCAACGUUUUUGCGACG